Molecule: long non-coding RNA, 496 nt
Filed under: Setaria viridis
Lineage: Eukaryota; Viridiplantae; Streptophyta; Magnoliopsida; Poales; Poaceae
Description: long non-coding RNA (SVIR_LNC006274)
Source: RNAcentral
UUUUAGGAUGGCUGAAGGUGUGAAUGGUUUAAUAUUGUGAAGGAAGGCUUGUCAAAAUUUUUAGUUAGAACAAGUUUAUUUUACCUCUGUUUGCUCUGGCUUUCGGUGGGGUUGAUAGGAAGGUUUAGGUGAAAAAGGGUUUUAACAAAGGUUAUAAAACAAAAUAAAUCAUGCAAUGCAAUGCAAGGUGGAAAAUAAUAUGAUAUGAUGAUGGUCUAACAAAAGAUAAAAGUUAACCUAAAUUAACUAGUCACAAGUUUAGAAUCAAAGGGGUGGUGCCAUGCUUCAUAUUUCUCUCUAAAAAGAGACAAAUGAAAAGACUCUAAACACUAAUAGCACAUAAAAAAUGGUCUAUUAGUUUUCCAAGAUCAAAUAACAAAGUGCUCCCUCAGUAUUAUUUCAUGCAUACAACAUGUGGUUGUAGAAUUUGUUAGAGCAAUGGUACAAUGUUACUUGAUGGUUUUGAUUUAAGAGCACAAUAUAGACCGUCAUCUUA